UCGGUCUCAUUUUUCCUUACAGAUGGGUUAAGGCGCACAGAGAACAAUCGAAGAAAGCCCUCUGGUUGGAAUGUGGUUCAGCUCACAGAAGCCGUGGUGUUUGGAGAAGGAAGAUGCUUUCUGCAAUUUCAGUGAUGCUCCAUGGAUUGAACCCAGGGGCACUUAACCACUCCUGUUUUUGUCUUCAGUAUCUCAUGACCUGUCCUAAGGAAUUUGCCUCCCAGGGUGAAUGCAGGUUGCCCUGAUGGUGAUAUAUUUUUCCAUCUUACGAUAGUCAUUGGUCUGCCCAGGACCAGACAUCUGAAAGAGUUGGAAGUGGAGCAGCUCAUUUCCAUCCAGCAUUAACAGGCACUGUUACCAGUACUUGAUUCAAAGGUCCAUCAUGUUAUCUGGAUCCCAGGAAUGAUUUGAGAGAAAGCAACCUAUGUCUCUGCCCAAUUUCAACCUGAAGUUAAAGGUCCGAGGAAAAAAGGUGCAGCAGGUGUCCAAGUCUUAAAGGACAUCAGGAAGUGGAUUUCCAGAUCCUUUGUUGUUAGCACACAUCUUCCUAAUAAAGCUCUUUCUUAACCUUUA
Sciurus carolinensis (gray squirrel) is the source of this 573-nucleotide long non-coding RNA. RefSeq lists it as uncharacterized. NCBI's taxonomy places the organism in Eukaryota, Metazoa, Chordata, Mammalia, Rodentia, Sciuridae. The record is from RefSeq and is a predicted model, not a curated record. The transcript has 12 exons.